GACGAACGCUGGCGGCGUGCUUAACACAUGCAAGUCGAACGAUGAAGAAGAGAAACGCGAACUUCGGUUCAAAUUUCACUUCGGAUUAGUGGCAGACGGGUGAGUAACGCGUGAGCAACCUACCUCUUACAAAGGGAUAGCCUCGGGAAACCGUGAUUAAUACCAUAUGACACAUUCAUAAGGCAUCUUAAGAAUGUUAAAGCUACGGCGGUAAGAGAUGGGCUCGCGUCCCAUUAGCUAGUUGGUGAGGUAACGGCCCACCAAGGCGACGAUGGGUAACCGGCCUGAGAGGGUGAACGGUCACAUUGGAACUGAGACACGGUCCAAACUCCUACGGGAGGCAGCAGUGGGGAAUAUUGCACAAUGGAGGGAACUCUGAUGCAGCGACGCCGCGUGAGCGAUGAAGGAAUUCGUUUCGUAAAGCUCUGUUCUAUGGGAAGAAAGGGACUGUACCAUAGGAGAAAGCCCCGGCUAAAUACGUG
RNAcentral lists this ribosomal RNA (482 nucleotides) under uncultured bacterium. RNAcentral's name for it is "partial 16S ribosomal RNA". It matches the Rfam family "Bacterial small subunit ribosomal RNA", at positions 28 to 507 of the family's 1533-position model. The record is from RNAcentral.